RNAcentral lists this ribosomal RNA (500 nucleotides) under uncultured bacterium. RNAcentral's name for it is "partial 16S ribosomal RNA". It matches the Rfam family "Bacterial small subunit ribosomal RNA", at positions 30 to 523 of the family's 1533-position model. The record is from RNAcentral.
AUUGAACGCUGGCGGCAUGCCUUACACAUGCAAGUCGAACGGCAGCACGGGAGCAAUCCUGGUGGCGAGUGGCGAACGGGUGAGUAAAGUAUCGGAACGUGCCCAGUCGUGGGGGAUAACGUAGCGAAAGUUACGCUAAUACCGCAUACGAUCUAUGGAUGAAAGCGGGGGAUCGCAAGACCUCGCGCGAUUGGAGCGGCCGAUAUCAGAUUAGGUAGUUGGUGGGGUAAAGGCUCACCAAGCCGACGAUCUGUAGCUGGUCUGAGAGGACGACCAGCCACACGGGGACUGGGACACGGCCCAGACUCCUACGGGAGGAAGCAGUGGGGAAUUUUGGACAAUGGGCGAAAGCCUGAUCCAGCCAUGCCGCGUGCAGGAUGAAGGCCUUCGGGUUGUAAACUGCUUUUGUACGGAACGAAAAGGUUUGGCCUAAUAAGCUGAGCUCAUGACGGUACCGUAAGAAUAAGCACCGGCUAACUACGUGCCAGCCGCCGCAGUAA